Molecule: non-coding RNA, 696 nt
Organism: Arvicanthis niloticus (Nile rat)
Lineage: Eukaryota; Metazoa; Chordata; Mammalia; Rodentia; Muridae
Source: the annotation of a RefSeq genome assembly
AUGGGAUGGAGCCAGAUCAUCCUCUUUCUGGCAGCAGGAACUACAUAUGUCCUCUCCGAGGUUCAGCUGCAGCAGUCUGGGGCCGAGCUGGUAAAACCUGGGUCCACAGUGAAGAUGUCCUGCAAGGCUUCUGGCUACACAUUCACCAGCUCCUUUAUGCACUGGGUGAAACAGAUGCCUGGGGAUGGCUUUGAGUGGAUUGGAUGGAUUUAUCCUGGAAGUGGUGAUACUAAGUACAAUGAAAAGUUCAAUGGCAAGGCCACUCUGACUGCAGACACAUCCUCUAGCACAGCCUACAUGCAGCUCAGCAGCCUGACAUCUGAGGACUCUGCGGUUUAUUACUGUGCAGCACACAGUGUUGUAACCACAUCCCGAGAAGACUUCAUCCAAGGUGUCCACUCCCAGGUUCAGUUGCAGCAGUCUGGGGUUAUACUGGUGAGGCCUGGAGCCUCAGUGAAGUUGUCCUGCAAGGCCUCUGGCUAUACCUUCACUGACUAUGUUAUGCACUGGGUGAAGCAGAAGCCUGGACAGGACCUGGAAUGGAUUGGAUAUUUUAAUCCUUACAAUGAUCAAACUAAGUACAAUGAGAAGUUCAAAGGCAGGGCCACCUUGACUGCAUACAAAUACUCCAACACAGCCUACAUGCAGCUCAGCAGCCUGACAUCUGAGGACUCUGCAGUCUAUUACUGUGCAUGA